Molecule: ribosomal RNA, 440 nt
Filed under: uncultured bacterium
Lineage: Bacteria
Description: partial 16S ribosomal RNA
Rfam family: Bacterial small subunit ribosomal RNA
Source: RNAcentral
CCUACGGGAGGCAGCAGUAGGGAAUAUUGCUCAAUGGGGGAAACCCUGAAGCAGCAACGCCGCGUGGAGGAUGAAGGUUUUCGGAUUGUAAACUCCUUUUGUUAGAGAAGAUAAUGACGGUAUCUAACGAAUAAGCACCGGCUAACUCCGUGCCAGCAGCCGCGGUAAUACGGAGGGUGCAAGCGUUACUCGGAAUCACUGGGCGUAAAGAGGGCGUAGGCGGGAUAGCAAGUCAGAUGUGAAAUCCUAUGGCUUAACCAUAGAACUGCAUUUGAAACUGUUAUUCUAGAGUAUGGGAGAGGUAGGUGGAAUUCUUGGUGUAGGGGUAAAAUCCGUAGAGAUCAAGAGGAAUACUCAUUGCGAAGGCGACCUACUAGAACAUAACUGACGCUGAUGCGCGAAAGCGUGGGGAGCAAACAGGAUUAGAUACCCUAGUAGUC